RNAcentral lists this small RNA (80 nucleotides) under Flavobacterium sp. 81. Its description in RNAcentral is "Flavo-1 RNA". It matches the Rfam family "Flavo-1 RNA". RNAcentral also lists the same sequence under 1 other name. The record is from RNAcentral. Lineage: Bacteria; Pseudomonadati; Bacteroidota; Flavobacteriia; Flavobacteriales; Flavobacteriaceae.
UUUUAGCCCUGAUAGUAGUGGAAAUACUUUUCCUGACUUCUUUAGGAAGGAAAAGAUUGUAACGAAUAGCAGGAUUAGUU